CCAACUUCCUCCCUCCCUCCCUCCCUCCCUCCCUUCCCCUCUUCCUUCCUUUUUUCUUUCUUACUUCUUGUCACUGCCUUCCUCCAUUUCUUGCCUGCAUUGCUGUUUUUCUCCCUGGCCCCCUGAGUCUAUUUGGGGAGCUUUCUCAUGUUUUCGGGCUUCCUUUCCUCGCUAACCUCUCGUUUUGCGUGGAGAUGGGCAGCGGUGCUAGGAGGCACCUGAGUUCCCUCGGUGACAUCCCUGAGGCUGAGGUUCAGCUACGUGGUAUUUGCUGAAGGCAGGCGGAGGUUGGGGGCCACAAGACACGAGAUCCUUGGAAGUCACAGGGUCUGUAGAGACAGAGAGGAACACUGCCCCUUCCUUGAGAAGCCUCUGCCUGGACCAUGGCAGCCUUUCUGGGGGUUUCUGUGUUGGGAGGGAUGUUCCAGCACCUGCACUAGCCAGCAAUUUCAGAAAACUGGGUUUCCUCACACCUCAGCCCUGUUUUGAGAAAUGCGUCUCCCAAUUUUUACCUCUAUAUAAAGGAGUUUGGGUUGCUAUAAUUUGUAUAAUUGCAAAACCCCAGCACAGAUAUUUAAGAUCCAAUCAUCACACUUGUGGGUGAAAGGGAGAGUCCUUUCUAGAAAGUCCCAUCAGUCUUACCUCCAGAUCCUCGUGGGUCACGAGGCCUGGAGCAACCAGGUCUACCCCGGGACCCCAUAGAGUUGGAUGGUCCUCCCAGGAGACUAUUUUUUUUUUAAAGGUGUCAUUUAGUGAGUGUUUAUUGGACAUGAGGCGCUGUCUUGUACAGUCUCCGUAUUUCACAGAUGAGGCUCGGAGUGUUAAGCGAUGCACCCAAGAUUCUUGAGCACAUAAAUGUCAGGAUUGGGUCUUAAACUCUGGUAAAUAUGAUGCUAACACUGUCUCUCUUAACUCUCAGGGUUGUCUUCCUGAUCCUUUAUAACAGAGGCUUGCAAACUUUUUUGACUUCAACCCACAAUAAUAAAUCCAUUUUACAUGUUCACAUACUAUGUAACAACAUACACGUUUAUUUAACAGAUUCUUCAUGCAACAAGGUACACCUACGUAUAUGAGGUAUUCUGACAUCCUCUAUCCUAUCUUUUCCAUUUCAUUCUAUUUGUGAAAAAUAUAUUUGUGAGAAAUAUAUGCUGGGCGUCAGGAAGAUCAUUUGCUGAGCCACGAAUGAGUUGUGACCAGCACUGGAAAAAUUCUGUGAGACAGGCACGCACACUUGCCCUCACGGUACAUGUGGAAGUGUUUCGAAGUGUUUUUUGUAUUCCUGUCAGGGUGUGCGAGGAGACCAAGGCAGGGCGGUGUACUGAUGUGGAAGGAUUCUGUAGAGACGGGGAGCACCAGAACCCCUGAAGGGGAGCCCGGCUGGAGGAGAGGGUGAGCUGCUCGUUAAGGACACUGUUACCAAACCUUGAGGGGAAUAUCAAGUUCCAGAAACAUGGCAGAAGCAAGUCCUUCCUGGGCCCAAAGUGAAUGUUUGGUUCAUAGGAAAAUGACCAGGAAGACUCACAGCUGGAGGUUGUUUAAUGAUUUGUGGUGCAGGGACCUGGGUGACCAAUGGCUCUGCCGAAGAUCCCAGGACCAGGACUGAGGCCUCAAGUCUCACUGGACUUAAGAAAGAGCAACUUUCUUGGCCACAGUAGGAUUUGCCCCUUUCUAGUGAAGAGCUAAUAUGGAGAGAAGUAAGGAUCAGGCUGUGACACCGUGUGGCGGGAGGGAGGAAGUAGGGGCAGGGGACCCAGGAGAGGGCAGCCCAGCAUGUGGGGACUGUCAGUGCUCCUUCCUGAUCUGCUCCUUCGGGGAUGCUCUCUCGUGGGAGGCUCUGUACCCGGCAUUUCUGUGGGCACUCCAUAAAUUGGAAGUGUGACUGCUUAACCAGAAAAUAGACAUGAAGGCACGGAGAAGGUAGAGUAUCAGUCACUUCUAAAUGUGAAUUAAUGUCCUUGUUUGAUGGUAGAGCAUGGGACACUGUAACAGAGGGUGUGAUGGAAACUGUAUUGAGUGGCUUUAGACAACCAGUGGAAAUGAGAGCAAAGGGCCCCCAAGAGAUGGAAGAAAAAAAGUGUUGGGCCAAGAGGCACCAGAAGGGCCAGGAAAAUGUGAUAAAAGAAUAUAGAAAGGAAGGUGUCAGGAAAGUAGUAGAAGGAGUCGGGGUGGGACCUGUGGGCCUCGACUCACACUUUGCAAAGUCAGAGUGUGUGUGAGGCCUUUAUGACUGGCUUGGCCAGUAGCCAGGCCCACGGCUUGAUGGGAAUUACUUUGUGAACUCAACUGGCGAAGGAAUGUACCCCGAUCACACUUACUUGAGACCGAGGGAGGCGUCAGAUGUAUUUCUUCAUUUAUAUAUGGUAAGAGCUGUACAUUUUGGACCAAUGAGCCAUCAGCAAGGUCUUCCUUCAAAUGGUAUGUGUUGUGUAUCAUGCUGUUGGUGCACACCUGGCCAUAGGUCCUGCUCCAAGGCCCCUGUACGUCUUGGUGUUUUGUGGUCUGCUGUUUCUUGCCAGCAGCCCAGUUCUGCUCUCACUAUUUUCCUUAUUUAUUCUUACUUCAUUACAGGAUAUCCAUUUUAUCAAUCCACUCUGAUGACUAUAGGUUUUUCCACCAGAGAAACAAUGUCUGGCAUGAUUAAGGCUACCACGGAUCAAAGAAAGUUUUGGGCUCAUAUCAUUUUUUGGAUGAGACUUAUUUUUGGACAUCCCAGACUUUAGGGCAGAAUCAAAGCUAUGUAUUUAUGAAGCCAUAGUCUCCUGCCCUCAUCCUGUUUUAAAGACAAUAAAACAUUUGUAUGUGGUGCUAUA
Molecule: long non-coding RNA, 2810 nt
Organism: Lutra lutra (Eurasian river otter)
Lineage: Eukaryota; Metazoa; Chordata; Mammalia; Carnivora; Mustelidae
Exons: 3
Source: RefSeq, a predicted model, not a curated record